Molecule: ribosomal RNA, 253 nt
Filed under: uncultured bacterium
Lineage: Bacteria
Description: partial 16S ribosomal RNA
Rfam family: Bacterial small subunit ribosomal RNA
Source: RNAcentral
UACAGGGGGGGCAAGCGUUGUUCGGAAUUACUGGGCGUAAAGGGCCCGUAGGCGGCCGAUUAAGUCUGACGUGAAAUCCCCAGGCUUAACCUGGGAACUGCGUCGGAUACUGAUUGGCUUGAAUUCGGGAGAGGGAUGCAGAAUUCCAGGUGUAGCGGUGAAAUGCGUAGAUAUCUGGAGGAAUACCGGUGGCGAAGGCGGCAUCCUGGACCGACAUUGACGCUGAACGGCGAAAGCUAGGGGAGCAAACGGG